RNAcentral lists this ribosomal RNA (465 nucleotides) under Vreelandella stevensii. Its description in RNAcentral is "partial 16S ribosomal RNA". It matches the Rfam family "Bacterial small subunit ribosomal RNA", at positions 338 to 795 of the family's 1533-position model. Lineage: Bacteria; Pseudomonadati; Pseudomonadota; Gammaproteobacteria; Oceanospirillales; Halomonadaceae. The record is from RNAcentral.
CCUACGGGCGGCAGCAGUGGGGAAUAUUGGACAAUGGGGGGAACCCUGAUCCAGCCAUGCCGCGUGUGUGAAGAAGGCCCUCGGGUUGUAAAGCACUUUCAGUGAGGAAGAACGCCUGGUGGUUAAUACCCAUCAGGAAAGACAUCACUCACAGAAGAAGCACCGGCUAACUCCGUGCCAGCAGCCGCGGUAAUACGGAGGGUGCGAGCGUUAAUCGGAAUUACUGGGCGUAAAGCGCGCGUAGGUGGCUUGAUAAGCCGGUUGUGAAAGCCCCGGGCUCAACCUGGGAACGGCAUCCGGAACUGUCAAGCUAGAGUGCAGGAGAGGAAGGUAGAAUUCCCGGUGUAGCGGCGAAAUGCGUAGAGAUCGGGAGGAAUACCAGUGGCGAAGGCGGCCUUCUGGACUGACACUGACACUGAGGUGCGAAAGCGUGGGUAGCAAACAGGAUUAGAUACCCGAGUAGUC